UACAGAGGUCUCAAGCGUUGUUCGGAUUCAUUGGGCGUAAAGGGUGCGUAGGUGGCGUGGUAAGUCUGGUGUGAAAUCCCGGGGCUCAACCCCGGAACUGCACUGGAUACUGCCAUGCUUGAGUACUGGAGAGGAGAUUGGAAUUUACGGUGUAGCAGUGAAAUGCGUAGAUAUCGUAAGGAAGACCAGUGGAGAAGGCGAAUCUCUGGACAGUUACUGACACUGAGGCACGAAGGCCAGGGGAGCAAAC
Molecule: ribosomal RNA, 250 nt
Filed under: uncultured Spartobacteria bacterium
Lineage: Bacteria; Pseudomonadati; Verrucomicrobiota; Spartobacteria
Description: partial 16S ribosomal RNA
Rfam family: Bacterial small subunit ribosomal RNA
Source: RNAcentral